Molecule: RNA transcript, 5991 nt
Organism: Anolis carolinensis (green anole)
Lineage: Eukaryota; Metazoa; Chordata; Lepidosauria; Squamata; Anolidae
Gene: ccdc102b
Gene name: coiled-coil domain containing 102B
Exons: 4
Source: RefSeq, a predicted model, not a curated record
AUUUGUCUCACAUACUUCCCCUCAGUGCCACAUUAUCUCAUACAUACGCAUGCACAUGCUCAAGUGUUUAUAGCUGGCAGUGGCUGGGAUCCUGAAAGAAGGAUUGCCCCCUGCCAUAGUGGGAUUUGAGAGAUUCCAUAUUAAAAAGGCAUGGCAAAGGUGUGGGAUAUUAAGAAGAUUCUCUUAGCCUAAAUGAAAAGGGCUUUGGGCACGGUGUCCCACAUUUAAUGGUGGCAGUGGUUGGGAUCUUGAAAGAGAGAUUUCCCCCUGCCUGUUUGAGAAGCCGCUCUUGUGCCUUUUUGAAGUGAUCCUUGCAACAUGCCUCUUCAACUUCAGGCAGAGGAUAAUCUUGUCAUCCCAAUCACUGCCAUUAAUAGAUAUAUGGAGAUCCCUCUUCACAGAGAUUAAUCUGUGGGAUCCUCUUCACAGAGGUUUCUUCACAUUCAAAGGAAAAACUUCUGUUUAACUGUCACCCAGUGUUUUAGAGUCACAGUCCUUCUCUUGAACAAAACAGUUACAAAGUUUAUUUUAUUGUUGUCUGGCAUGGAAGCGUGUUGGUUACAUUGGAGGUUUGCUUUCUUCGUUGAAAUACAAUGUUACAGUAUUACUUUCUCUCACACAGUCUUGCAAACACAACAAUGGACACUUUUUACUUUGCAGGGGCAGAACUCUGACUAUUCUCAACUUAUUAUAUUAGUUAUUCCAGCAAAUAUCUUCUGUUAACACAUUCCUUAACCUAUCUUCACUGACAACUAACUAUCCUGUCCUAACAGAUAGCUUUCCCCAUCCUAACUGCUUUAGAAUGUUCAGCUGCUUCCCUAACUGCCAACUGCCAACAACACUUUUAAACCCUGGCACACACUCAUUUACAUAUGGCCAAUCCGGUCGCUGCUAUGUAAAUUAGCUCCUCUCUUGAUGUCAGAUUCCAAGUGCUACAAAAUGGCGGUUCACACACCAACCCUGCAAGGUAAGUUAUGUCUUAACUAUUAUAACAUGUUCUAAAUUUCCCAUAUAAUUACACAUUUCGCUAGUUUCCAUGGCCAAGGGGAUUCAAAACCCGUUUCCCAGGAUGCUAGUCCAAUACUCAAAGCACUACAUGAUUCUGGGUGUCCCAAAAUCUCUCUUCCUACAUUUGCCCAAGCAAUUGUGAUUAUGUUUGCACUAACUUGCAAUGAGGCAGAAGGAGCUGUAGUUACACCAGAAAUCUCCAUGCACAUAUGAAAGUAUUUAGGAUGUAGUUGAGGUUUAUUAGUUCCUGCCUCUUUACAUUUAAGUGGGUUUUCCCUCCAUUAAAUGUUAUCACUGUGUACUAAAGACUGAUUCAGUAUAAACUGCCUCCAGUACCUUUUUACAAGAGAGAAGAUGAGGCUAGACAAGACUGUUCAUUUUGCUAAAUUGUACUAAAUAUGAGAAAACAAGAAAUGAAAGUGAAUCUAUAGGGGAUGUGUAAGGUCUAGAAUCAUUAUUUCAUAAUGUGAAACUUUAUAAGCAGUGUUGUCCCGUUUGGCAAGUGGAUAAGCACACAACCUUAUAAUCAUGCUUUGAAUAUCCAUAUACAAUAUCCAGGUCAAUAUACCCUGAGGCCUCAAAUAUUUCAUAAUGUGGAUACUUUCAUAACAGCUGCCUCUUAUGCUUGGAAAAUAGAAUGUAAGCACCUACAACCAUACAGCCAUGUUCUGACAUUCUGCACACAAUGCUCCACUCCAUACCCAUGUCUUCAGCUAAUGUAAACACAUACACCCAUUUGCUUGAUUAAGUACACAGAAUAAAGAUAAUUUAUUUUUUUCUUCCAGGUGAACUUCUGAAACUUUUCCAACUUUCCAAUCACAAUGUAAAUAGGUUUUUUUUGAGCUUUGAAAGAUAUUGCUGCAUAUUUUCAUUUAAAGAGAUCGGUUUUCUGAGCUAUUGAAAUGGCCAUAACUUCCUAUAAAUUUAAAUGCUUUUCUCUUUUAAAAGAUAAAAUGACCAAUAGCUAAAGUAGCUGAGACUUUUAAUUAAUACAUUUGUUGUGUAUAGCUUUUAAUUUUUGUAGCAUUUAGUAGCUAAGGCUCCAUAUCUUUCACUUUGAUAGAACAGAUUUAAAUAAUCCUCUAUUGUUCCAACUAUCUUCAAAACAUCCCAGAUUCUUCUUCUUCUUCUUCUUCUUCUUCUUCUUCUUCUUCUUCUUCUUCUUCUUCCUCUUCCUCUUCUUCCUCUUCUUCUCACCUUCCCCCUUCAUUGUCAUCUUACUUCAACUACUAUAAAAUAAAUUCAAUGUGCAAAAGAAGGACAGCAUUUCACCCUUCCCAGUAGACUCAGGCAGAAGGAAUCUGCUGCAACCUCUGUUAGCUUUUCUUUUUCCUUAACAACUUUGACCACACACCAGUGUUGCUUAGCCACAUUUGUCCCAAUUUUCAUGUAUGAAAUAUUAAUGAAUACCCACCCUUGAGGGAGAAAACAGCUAUAGUACAUAGCUAUGUAUAAAUCGACUUUGUGUAUAAAUUGAGGGCAAGUUUGAGAGGCAAAAUUAUGGAAUUUGAUAUGAAACAUGCAGAAAGGGGAAAGCUGUAGCACUUUCACAGGCAAAUAGGGGGGCUAGAUCUCUGACCACUGCAACCACUGUUUUCUUUCCCAGGCAUUUAGUAAGGACUUUUGCCAUUCAAAGAAGGGCAUAGUUCUUUAAAAGAAAAAAGAGUUGAGGUGCAGUACUUAUAUUGGCCUAUGGAUAAGUUGACCCAGUUUUUGUGGUCAAUUAGCUAUGCCUCUAUGCACCAAAAGAGGAACUGACUGGUCAUAAGUUUAGAUGUCUACUUGUGAACAUUACAGUUAUGCAGUUAUGAGGAUGAGGGGAGGGAUGGAAGAAUUGCAAUUUAUAUUUUGUUGGAUUAUAUGAUUUAUUUCAAUGUGAUGUAAUGCUUUGAAAUUUUUCAGUAAAAGGAAGUUAGUUAAAAAAACCUAUACUAACACAUAUUCCUGCUAUAGUAAAAACUUAUAUAAAUUUAUGGCCCACCCAGACAGGCCCCUAUCCCGGGACCUGUCUCUUUUUUACUGGAGCCAUCCAACCGCCACCUCCAAUAAAACUGAAUUAAUUCAGAACAAACCAAGGAUUCCCUGGUUUGCUCUGAAUUAGAUACCCCAUUAAACUUGGGCCUUCCUGAAAGGCCCAGGUUUAAUGGGGUAUUAGGCCUGUGGGGACUCACUACAAGGUAGUUCUGGGACCAUCUGGGGUUAAGUCCCCAUUGCGCUGGGGGGGGGGAGGUAACUUAAGGUGGCCAAGUAUGUUUUACUUUACUUUAAAGGGUAAAUUGGGGGGUUUUGGGGGGACUGCAUGCCCCCCCCCCGAAAGCUUGGGUUUUUUGGGUGGCGUGGGGAUUAAACUCGACACCAAAGCAGAUUUUUAAACCUGUUUUGGCACAGAUUUUAGUCCUGUCUGGAAGUGCCCUUAGCCUUGAGAUAGUUCUUUAGCUGCUGCUUUCCAUGAACUCUUCUCUCACCAAUUCUCCAAACUCAAGCCAACUUCCCCUUCCCUGCUGUUACAUAUUUUGACCCUUUAGUGACUUCUUAGCCAGAUAUAUUUGUGUCAUGGAGCUUAUGGUAAAACAAAAAAGAUAAAGGUUUUCCCUGACAUUAAGUCCAGUCAUGUCUGACUCUGGAGGUUGGUGCUUGUCUCCAUUUCUAAGCCAAAGUGCCGACGUUGUCAGUAGACACCUCCAAGGUCAUGUGGCCAGCAUGAUUGCAUGGAGCGCCGUUACUUUCCUGCCAGAGCAGUACCUAUUGAUCUACUCACAUUUGCAUGUUUUCGAACUGCCAGGUUGACAGAAGCUGGGUCUAACAGCCAGUGCUCACUCCGCUCCCCAGAUUUGAACCUGCAACCUUUCAGUCUGCAAGUUCAGCAGCCUCAGUGCUUUAACAUGCUGAGCCACCGGGGGCACAGUUCUAUAUACAUAAUGAUUUGGAUCAGACUAAUGUGGAGAAAAAAAAUAGAAUACUUGGAGAAAGACUCUGAAGUCAGGUCCCCAAAAGGUUUGAAGAUCUGGCAGUUACAAGCAGAGGUGUUUUGGUUUCCCACAUUUCCCCUACUUUGGCCAGGUGGAACAGACACUCAUGGCACACAGAAAAAGAAAAGAGAACCAGGAUCCACAAGUUGGAGAGAUUAGAGUCAGAAUAUGCAUUGAACUUGGAAAGACAAGAAAUCCUCAAAACAGAAGAGAAGGAAUUAGACAGAGAAAACAGAAGCCUGAAGUGGAAGGUGAAAGAUCUUCAGGAUCUUCUUGACAGGAAAAGUGAACUGUCCACAGCACAUUUAUGUGGAGAUCUCAAGACACCACAUAGUUAAAAGAUAACAAAAAUAUGUAUGAUACCUAAGUAUGAUAUGUGUGAUACCUAGCAGUUUAAUGAUGGUUCAAUGAAACAAACAAAAAAUUAGAAAAGAAAAAACCAGCUUUGAUUUUGUACUAUAUACUUAUCCCAGGAAUUAUAUCCUUGCCUUUAAUAUUUACAUGUUUAAAACCCCAUGUUUAAUAUAUAGAUAUUGGGACAGGACCUUUCUAAGUUUAGUGCCUUUUACGCACAAUAAAUCACGAUAAAUAAAACUGUGAAGGCAGUUUCACUGGGCAAUAACAUGUUUUUUUUCCUGUAAAAAGCAUUCCAUGGUUGCAAUUUCUAUAUUAAAUGUUUUCUUCUUUAUGUUACAAUCAACCCUCCAGAAUUUCAGUUUUGACUUUUGCAGAUUUGAUUAUUCACAAAUUCAAAAUGUUCUCUCUAUGAAUCUCCAUGUCCUCCAAUGUGACUCUAUGAUCAAUGUCCUCCAGUUAUGCUGGAGUCUGUAGAGAUUUCUAGUAAGAACAACUGUCUAGGAAUCUCUAGGUCCUCAAGUGCAAGUCUGUGGUCCUUUUCCAGCAGAAGUUGAUCAUACAAUCAUGCUGAAAUAUCUAGAAUUUCCUAAAAGGAUGUUCUCUAAGCUUAAAAAAAAGGCCUUGUCUUUAUUUGUGGUUUUCCAUUUUCACGGGGUCCUGUAUUCCAUCCCCAAUGAAUGUGGAGGGCUGACAGUACUCUUUUACAUCAGAACAUUACAAGAUUUUUUUAAAAAAAAAUUCAGUAAACACCUAAUCUUUGUUAACAGUUGACUAUUCUUACCUUGUUCUGUCAAGACUGUUUUUCAAUGCUGUUCAGAAUUUCAUAGAUGGAAUCCUCACUGAGGCAAACAUUUCAUUGUUAGUCCCAAAUAGUGCAUACUCAAUUAAUCAAUGAAAAUUAUAUAAGAGUUGAUCAUUCAACCCAUUGAUUAAGUAAUACACUUAAGCUUAAAGGAACAUUUGCAUUUAGGUCUGGACAAUUGUGUAUGUGUUCUAUUAUUGAUGGAUGGUGUUAUAGAAAGUCACUCCAGAUUAGCCAAAUAAAAACUGCCAAUUAAUUGGAUGCAGAUUUCUCUACCAAUUCACUCUCAUUUGUUCCCCAGAUAAGGAAAGCAUUUACCAAAUUAUGUUACUAGAUCACAUCAUCAGUAGUAGUUCUGACUGCAGAUAUUUGAGAACACCCAUAGCCUGGAAAGAGUUAUACAUGAAGCUGAACAUAUUGAGAACCUCACUAUCUCUUCCAUUUCCCCAUGUACUUUUCUCCCAAAGAGAACCUUUUAUCUCACAAUUUGACAGUUUUGAUAGAUGAGCUUGGGUAGGGAAAAAGGUAAUAUUUUUACUGAGAGAUGUUCACAAUAUAGUUUCUUAUAAUUUGCCCUUGCAGCAAGAAAAUAUCAAGUGAGUUUGUAAAAACCCAUCAGUCUGGCUGAACAUUUAAAAUUAUUUCAUCUUGCCGUAUUGCUUUGUAUUAGCAAUAAUCUUCUGAGUUGUUUGGAAAUCUGAAUGAGUGUUGUUUUUAGAGCUCUGGAUGGCAGUCUUGUAAAUAUUUUUAUAUUGCAUAUAGUCUGCUUCUGUUUUUGUACCUUUAUUAAGUCUGUUCUGCAAUGACUUUUCAUCACAAGCAAUAAACUGUGUAAUAAAUAUGAUAUUCAUGAGG